This is a non-coding RNA of Nicotiana tabacum (common tobacco), 497 nucleotides long. NCBI's taxonomy places the organism in Eukaryota, Viridiplantae, Streptophyta, Magnoliopsida, Solanales, Solanaceae. The record is from RefSeq and is a predicted model, not a curated record.
AGAUCAAGAAGCCUCAUUGAUUUAUCCAAUAGAUCUUCAACCCAUUUUGCAUGUAGAUUUUGGGAGAGGGCAUGAAGGUUUUGAGGCAAGUUGAGAAGAUCAUCUAUGCACUUGUACAAUUUCUCCAAACCUUUUAGACCAUUGCUCACUGUUGUUGGUGCAACAGAUACUUCCAAUGAUUUGAGCUUGUUUAGCUCCUCUUCAACUCUCUGGAUGGAAAACAACCAUGGGAGGAGACAAGAUGAGCAAUGGCCUAAUUAAAUCAGCAUGUGAUUGCACAGCUGGAUCUUUUUGGAACUUGUAAACCUGCUCCACAUUUGGCCAACAAAAGGUUGUACUGAUUACUUUCAUUAAUCCUCGUAGUUAUAAGAUGAACACGAGGAAUAUAAUUAUCAUGUAAGUGUUUGCAUGAUUUGCCUCUUUCUGUCUCCAGAAAUGGUGCCAAUACUGUGACAAAAAACUUUUCUAUUGAUAUUAUUUGAUUGAAGAUGCAUCAA